Molecule: long non-coding RNA, 1481 nt
Organism: Lineus longissimus
Lineage: Eukaryota; Metazoa; Nemertea; Pilidiophora; Heteronemertea; Lineidae
Exons: 3
Source: RefSeq, a predicted model, not a curated record
UCAGCGCCUCAGCCGAUUAACGGCCUCAGAGAAAUGAGAGUGAUUCAUUUGCCAGAUGUCACGCGAGUAAACACAAGAACAGGCGUCAUACCAGACAUCCGCAUGCUCUGGGUGGGUUCCUGGAAGCGUAGAAAACGAGACCAGAUUUUGCCGAGUGAACUGAAGGUGAGAUUCUUAUCCUGGGACAAAGAAAAACCCUGGGAGCUUACCCGACGCUACAGGUUCCACUCAAUAUUAAAGACGAGCCAGGCGUGUCUGCUGUACAUCGCUCACCACCAGGGACAUGUCCUUGUACUAAUGAGCCGGUCGCAUUGCUUGGAAGUUUUCCGACUCUACCCCAAGUGUCGUCGUUUGAAAAGAACGUGCGUGAAGCUGUCGAAAUCGAUGUUUUAUAUUGCUGCGAUGGCAGUGCAUGAAGAUUAUUUGGUUUUCCAUGUCCACAUGAUCAAAGGCAAAUAUGCCCUGCAGCUCCAUAGGAUCAUACCACUGUCUCAUAAGUUGGUGACAAAGUUUCCGCGAUACGUCCAUGGGAAGCGCUCCUGUAUGAUAGGAGCGAAGAUCAUAAUUAGUGACAAGGGACAGAUAGCAGUGAUACACUCGGCGUUUUUUAUCCUCACUUGGAUUCACAAGCCCAAGCAGAUCUUCAUCACCCGACAAAAGGACAUGAAAUUAUUCAGGAGAUGGGUCACAAAACGGCGAAUGGACGUCAAGACGCCAUUUUGGUCACCUAACCGGAAGUGGAUACAGUUCUAUAUGUCGGCAGGGUCACCCAGGUGUGCCGCUUUUUACAGGAUCAAUUUUAGAAAUGACCUGGAUUUAAUUUUAUCAGUUCAGAAAUUUUCUACAGGUAAUGUCCACGGGUUUCAUCAAAAUACGUUUGCUUUUGUGAUGUAUACAAACAUGAGUGGUUAUAGCCUUGGAUUUUUCUCAAGACAACUGAUUGUUUAUUCGGUUCAGUGAUCAUCUACAUCAAAAGAUAUAGUCACAAAAAAUAAGGUUUUUGUAUAUUUAUCACAGAUGGUUACAUUUUUCAAGGAUGAUAUCCGGUCAAUUAAGAGCUAUAUGUCGCGAUGCUCGAAACGGCAUCAUCCCUUCUAUGCAUGGAUUCUAUUCCAUUCCGUGGCUUCCGACGGACCGAAAGUCGCAGUCGUCAAGUUGAAAAUAUAGUCUUAGAUCAGGUGUCACUUAAAGAGUCAACUAACUGAAGGAGUUCAGUGCAUUAUUUACUGAAUUGUACACAGCGCCCCAUCCAACCGUGAAGUACACCGCCAGAGCUAUGCCAACGCCCAGGACGGUCAGGACGACUCCAGUGAUGUUGAGACCAAGAGCGCACUUGCCGGCUUUCUUGGCUUCCUUGAGAUCAUCCCUCUCCGCGGCGCGCCUGGACCCCAUGGACAUACAGAUCGCGAUGCCCCCGCAGAGAGGAUUGAAGAGGAGGCAGACGCAGAUGGAGAAGGCCAGGUAGUUGUUGGGUUUUUCGG